AAAGAAUCCUUGCUGCAAGAGGCUCCAGAAGCAGGGCCUUUCUCCCGCCACCCCCAUGCUCACGCCACCACCAGACCACACACACACACACACACUUGGUCCUGUCCACCCAAACACUCCGUUUCCUGUCUCUGGCGUGUGGUGUGGACUGGCCUGGCCACCUUUCCAGCCGUCGCACCCCUGAUCUCUCUCCGUGUCGUUUCUUCUCAGUCCCUGACUUCUCACCUCAAUCUCCAGGCCCAAGCCUCAGAAGAUGAAGAGGGCCGAUUUGGGAUAAAAGGUGGUUCAGAAAAGGACGAGAGCAUCAAAGGAGCACACAAGAUAACAACGCCCAGAAGACAGUGGUCCAGACUUAAGUCACGCUCUCCAGGAUUCAUUCCACAACGUUCUCCGGCCCUGCACGCAGCUCCGGCCCCUGGAAGUCUUGUUCAUUUCUUAUGAGGAGCAGUUUGGCUCUGGGCCUCACCUGGCAAAGCCACAGUACUUUCUCUUAUACCUAAAAUGUCCCCAGGAUGCCUCAUUAAACAGAGUCCCCGUCCAGCACUGCCAGAGGUAGAGUGCCUGGCAGAAGCUUUCAACUUUCCUUGAACCCGAUCUACUUUCUUGGGCAAGGAGCUCUCCUGGCCAGUAUCUGUGAGCAAGAGGAAUAGCGUGGGAAUUUAUCACUUCUGAUAUAAAUGUUGCCAUCUCGCCUGGGAACCAGAACUGAACGGGAGGUUGCUUUUAUAUGGAGUGAAGUUAAAAGCUGGAACUUAUAAAUUUAUCCUAAUAAAAUGUUGCUCUUGGGGUUCACUAGAAAUAUGGGGUUCCGGGAGCUCCUGUUGUGGCUCAGUGGAAAUGAACUGGACUAGUAUCCAUGAG
This is a long non-coding RNA of Phacochoerus africanus (Common warthog), 861 nucleotides long. RefSeq lists it as uncharacterized. The record is from RefSeq and is a predicted model, not a curated record. The transcript is spliced from 3 exons. NCBI's taxonomy places the organism in Eukaryota, Metazoa, Chordata, Mammalia, Artiodactyla, Suidae.